UGCGUAGGUGGCAAGCGUUAUCCGGAUUUAUUGGGUGUAAAGGGCGUGUAGGCGGGAGCGCAAGUCAGAUGUGAAAACUCAGGACUCAACCCUGAGCCUGCAUUUGAAACUGUGUUUCUUGAGUGCUGGAGAGGCAAUCGGAAUUCCGUGUGUAGCGGUGAAAUGCGUAGAUAUACGGAGGAACACCAGUGGCGAAGGCGGAUUGCUGGACAGUAACUGACGCUGAGGCGCGAAAGCGUGGGGAGCAAACAGG
RNAcentral lists this ribosomal RNA (253 nucleotides) under uncultured bacterium. RNAcentral describes it as "partial 16S ribosomal RNA". It matches the Rfam family "Bacterial small subunit ribosomal RNA", at positions 524 to 776 of the family's 1533-position model. The record is from RNAcentral.